This 323-nucleotide ribosomal RNA is filed under the name Euglyphida sp. RNAcentral describes it as "SSU rRNA". The stretch from base 57 to 323 matches the Rfam family "Eukaryotic small subunit ribosomal RNA", at positions 687 to 955 of the family's 1831-position model. Lineage: Eukaryota; Cercozoa; Imbricatea; Euglyphida. The record is from RNAcentral.
GAUUUCUGGGUGACUGUGCUAGCCCGCUCCUUUCCGGGAGUGUGUGCCGGUAUACGUCAUUCAUCCUUCUAGAAAGCCUUGCCUGCCGUUCAUUCGGCUGGGCAUGUGCGGUCUAGAUCUUUUACUUUGAAUAAAUUAGAGUGUUUAAAGCAGGCUUACGCUAUGAAUACAUUAGCAUGGAAUAAUAAUUUAGGACUUCGGUUCUAUUUUGUUGGUUUCUAGGACUGAAGUAAUGAUUGAUAGGGAUAGUUGGGGGUGCUAGUAUUCAACGGCCAGAGGUGAAAUUCUUGGAUUCGUUGAAGACUAACUAAUGCGAAAGCAUU